Molecule: ribosomal RNA, 305 nt
Filed under: uncultured bacterium
Lineage: Bacteria
Description: bacterial SSU rRNA
Rfam family: Bacterial small subunit ribosomal RNA
Source: RNAcentral
CGGAGCCUACGGGGGGCAGCAGUGGGGAAUAUUGCACAAUGGGGGAAACCCUGAUGCAGCGACGCCGCGUGAGUGAAGAAGUAUUUCGGUAUGUAAAGCUCUAUCAGCAGGGAAGAAGAAGGACGGUACCUGACUAAGAAGCCCCGGCUAACUACGUGCCAGCAGCCGCGGUAAUACGUAGGGGGCAAGCGUUAUCCGGAUUUACUGGGUGUAAAGGGAGCGUAGACGGCAGCGCAAGUCUGGAGUGAAAUGCCGGGGCCCAACCCCGGAACGGCUCUGGAAACUGUGAAGCUGGAGUGCAGGAG